AUUUCAAUACGAAACUAGCACAAAACUAGCGAAGGGAAGUCUGUUUCCCUUGAAAAUCUCUCGAUAAUUCGAAGAAAAACAAUGUAUUUUUCUCCCCUCAUUAAUUCGAAAUUUUUAAGCUGGCGCGGCCCUCUUUAAUUCGAAAUCGCGAUGGAAAUUCUCUCUGUAAUUCGAAGUGUGGGAAGUGAAUACGGCCCUCCCUCUAUAAUUCGAAAUAAGACGGUACAUUACCUCUGCAAUUCGAAGUCAACUGUUUAUGUACCUGGGUGUCUAAAAGAGCUUGACCUUUGACCUAAAGACCUUUUGGCGUAAAUCCGUCCAUUUCCCCCUCUAUAAUUCGAAUUUAGAUGGCGCCUGCCCUCUAUAAUCCGAACCUCUCUAAUUCGAAAUUUCUCCACUUGGAAUCUCUUUAAUUCGAACUCUCUUUAUUUCGAAACCUCGCUAAUUCGAAGAAAAAGCCGAUUCCCUUCAAUUUCGAAUUAUCGAGAGUCCACUGUAGUAGCCAGGAGGCAGAGCCCUCCAGUAACAUUAUUCCUGGCAAUCUGGCAUCAAGUCUAUUGAAGUAGGGAAGCUAAAAAAAAAGGUGAGAAAAGUUGGAAGAAGGAAAGGUCAAGCAGUGGCGUGGCGUGCUUUGCGAUAUAUCGAUUGAUACGCCACUCAAACCUAUGUAAAAAGAUCGAUUAUCAGGGUGUUCGCAGCGAACACCUCAGUAAUCGAUUCUUUACCAUAGCUUCAAAUGGCAAGAUAUCGAUAAUCGAUUAUUCACGCCACGCCACUGAGGUCAAGUUAACACCUGCGCGCCCUGCAAGUGCGCAAACAACAAACAGCAAAAAAAGGAAAAGUCUACCUGCGUCAGUAACUUUGACGCGGAAAAUCACAGGUGAUUCGUUGCGAGAGUAUAAAAUCUUAUCUCCCUGCAGAAAGUUUUGGAAGUUUUUUAGAGAUCGAUAAAAAUGGGGGCUCUCAUAAGACUUGUGUUUUUUGUGACUGCGUCUGCGGUUGUGUUGCAGGUGGCGGAGAGUAAGUCAGUUGUACAGGAUGCCAAGGAUGCACUUUCUCAUGCUGUUAAGUCAGUUGGGUUCACGCACGAAAAGAAAACCCCACCCGAGCGGGAGAUGAAAGCAAUCGAAAAGUCGGAGAAAUUCGUCAAGAACAGGAUCGAUCGCUACAUGGACAUGAGUAUCGCUGAGGAAAAGAAAGCUCUCAAAAAAAUAAACAAUGCAAAAAAGAAAACUGGACCAAGAAGACACUGGAUUUUUUACGCUGACUUCUUGGAGAGCAAUGUUAAUGUCCUACGAUUCGAGGUCAGGCUGAGUGUUUGUAAGCAACAAAAGCAUUUCAAAAAGUUCAUCGACGAUGUCCCGUCCGCCAACCCCGAACUUGCAAAAUUCAUGAAAUCAGAGGAGUAUCAAAGGAAAAUAAAGAUAGACCCGUCAACUUUGGACCCAGCAAUCAUCGUUGCGUAUGGGACUCCGAGUCAAGGUGCGGCAGUUGAUACGGCUGAGCCAAUGAUUAAGUCGAUUGAAAAUACUGGGACCUCCAUCGGGACCGUUCUCGAUAAAAAUUUGGAACGGACUGAACCUAAGGAAAAGAGAUACUUGAAAAAAUACAGACUACAUCCUCAAUGCACCAGCCGAGUAAUCUUUGGUUGA
Molecule: long non-coding RNA, 1652 nt
Filed under: Bemisia tabaci
Lineage: Eukaryota; Metazoa; Arthropoda; Insecta; Hemiptera; Aleyrodidae
Description: lncRNA ENSSSA3NGG000449
Source: RNAcentral